CGGACGGGUGAGUAACGCGUGAGUAACCUGCCUUUCAGAGGGGGAUAACGUUUUGAAAAGAACGCUAAUACCGCAUGACAUAUUGGAGCCGCAUGGCUUUGAUAUCAAAGGAGCAAUCCGCUGAAAGAUGGACUCGCGUCCGAUUAGCCAGUUGGCGGGGUAAAGGCCCACCAAAGCGACGAUCGGUAGCCGGACUGAGAGGUGACGGCCACAUGGGACUGAGACACGGCCCAGACUCCUACGGGAGGCAGCAUG
This 255-nucleotide ribosomal RNA is filed under the name uncultured bacterium. Its description in RNAcentral is "partial 16S ribosomal RNA". It matches the Rfam family "Bacterial small subunit ribosomal RNA", at positions 99 to 353 of the family's 1533-position model. The record is from RNAcentral.